Molecule: long non-coding RNA, 5199 nt
Organism: Esox lucius (northern pike)
Lineage: Eukaryota; Metazoa; Chordata; Actinopteri; Esociformes; Esocidae
Source: Ensembl
CAAGAAUGAUAAAUGAGGUUCAAUGUGUGUUCGGUUUCCACUUCACCACACUGGAAAUUUCCACUACCACCAAUAUUGUAAACAUUCUUCUAUGGUCUGAAACACAGAAGAAUGUCAACAGCGUGACACAACACGUUAAACAGCUCCUCCCCUUAUGGCCUGUUCAGGUAUAAAGACGUCACACCCAUAGCCACUGUGCAGCCAGUCUCAUUGAGUGCCCCGAGGGGACGGGCUGCGCCGCACGUUUUGAAGACAUUGUGGUGCCGAGGCGGUUUUGGUCGUGUGUGGGUGUGUGAGACAGACACGCUGGAAUGUAAACCAGAAACUGGAGGGUCUGAAGCCGGAAAAAUGUAACUGAACGCAUGAUCCACCAAGGGAUGUGUGGUUGCCAGAUGUGUGGUUGACGUCGUUCCUUCAAUCAAGUUUGAGGUAUUGUGACGAUGUCAAACGGAUGCAGGACAAAUGCAGGGAGAACUGAGGACAUUUAAUAAAUGAAACAGAACUGACAGGAACAAAACAGAAUAUUGGAUAAAAGAACUGGGAUAGACAGGAACAAAAUUAAACACAGAAUAGUAUGGAACAACGCUACAUGUGGUAAAACCUAUAUAAUGUAUUGAGGUUAAAUACUUUUUAUUUUUUUAUGUAAAAAAUUUCGUAUAUGGAAAUUGUAUUUUGUUGCUAAAGACUUGGGCCCCCGAUCAGACGUCAUGUAAUAUCAAAGUGAUCAGUCUUUUUUUUUCUCAACCAGAAGGCAUGAAAGGUAGCUAAAACUUUCUAGUAAACUUUUAAGAGAAGACUACGAGCUGUUAUUAGUAAGAACUAAAUAAUAAAUUGGUCAACAAUCGGGGAUGGUGGCCGAUUAUAGAGGAUCAUAUAGUUUAGCUACAUCACUAACCAAUGAGCUGAAAAUAUGAAUAUUUCCACUGACAUUUCAGAAAUGCUAAUUAAUUACAUGCUAGUUAACAUUUGUGUGUCUCUAAUAAUCACUAAACAUUGACGACUUGAUCAAAUUAUUACUCGGUACAAGAAGAUAUACUUCAAAACUGCUUUUGGGUAUGCGCAUAAUAGGGGGUUCUUUGCUACACAACCAUCUUGUCUUUGAUGACAAUGCAAAAACACUCUUAAAGUGAGUUUCAAGAUUUUAGCAGUCUCGCAUAGCCACAUAAAUGACAGUAAGCAAAAGCCUUUGAAAAGUCAAUAAACAAAGUUAAACAAUUAGAUUUUUCAUUCAGUGCUGUAGCAAUAUCAUUCCUAACCAAUGUAGUGACGGUAAUAGUACUGUGCCCAUGUCUAAAACCAGAUUGAUUUUUAUUCAGAAUUCCGCUAAAAAAUAACUGUAUUCUAAACAAAGACAGAUUUUGGUAGGCAUGAUAAAUCAGAAAUCUAGUAGUAACUAGUAACACAAGCAUUAUCUAGUGGCAGCACAUGGGUGGUUUUACACACUUUGGAAUAACUCCAGAAAUUAAUGUUGGAUUAAAAAUUCCAAAAAUAAGAGGAGCAGCACUGACCACCAGACCUGGUUAAAGUUUGUUGGCCCCUGUGUCUUUCUUGGUGUUGAUAGCUUACAAAGCAUUUAAGAUGUAUUUUACCGUGAAUGGAGUUGGUAAAAAAUAUUGGUAAUCAACAUCUAAUUGGCCCUGCAUGAAUGUUUGAUUCUCUUCACUUCCUUUUUGGUUUCCAUUUGGGGUGGUAAUGGCAGUUUUCUGAAAUAGAGAGUUUGCUACAUUGAAGUGGUGAUUGAAGGCAAUAUUUCUUAUAAGUAAUGAGCACAAGUCCACAAGAAUCUGUUUUGGCAAUGAGGCAGUGAAUAUCCUUGAACAAAUACAUUAGCCACAUGUGAAGAUAACAAAGAUAACAAAAUAUCUGAGAGAGAGAUUUCUGACAGUUCACAACUCUAUUAUAUUAGAGGAUCUAUUUGCCUUAAAGAAUAUGACAAUCAACAUCAUCCCCAUAUGCUUCAACAGCAGAUGGGAUUCACUUGAAUCCUGUUUAUGUAGCCUAAUUCUGCUCAUAUACCAGUGUUAGAAUCAGUGUGCUAAAUAAAACAACAAUCAGUAUCUUACCAAAAGAAGGGUUGGAGACCACAGAGGAGACCACUGAUUUCUAUUCAAUUAAAUGUCUUAAAUAAGCAUAAAUUAACAAACACUUUAACUGACAAUUUAGUGGAUAAUGUUCUGGUCAGUAUGUUAGUAUUUAUUUUGCAGAAAAUACCACAUUGACUUUCCAAAAAUGUAAUCGCUUGUUUUAUAUGCUGCUUUUUGAGUAAACCUGAUUAAAUAUAACCUUUAAAAAAUGUUGCAGAGACUCCUUUAACACAUCUCCAAUUGAGUACCUACUGUAACCAUAUCACAAGACAAAAAGUCAUAGAUCAAUAAUGCAUGUUUAAAGUGUCGGGAUGAAGCCUGUGUUCUGACUAUUGUACACCAGUGUACAUUAUGUAUUACAAACAAACACAUUACUGUAUGAGUUAUUACAUACAGUAUACACACAAACACAUUACUUUAUGAGUUAUCACAUACAGUAUACACACAAACACAUUACUUUAUGAGUUAUCACAUACAGUAUACACACAAACACAUUACUUUAUGAGUUAUCACAUACAGUAUACACACAAACACAUUACUUUGAGUUAUCACAUACAGUAUACACACAAACACACUUGAUUUAUUACAUCUUAGAUUAGAUUGUGUUUCCAUCGCCAUCACCAAUAUAUCUGUUCUCUGCUUCAGUUCUAAGUAUCUUCUAAAUAUCAACUUGAAAUUGCCAAACAAAAUGGAUUACUUAAAUGUAACAGAACAGAAAUGCAUGUUUAAAGUGUCGGGAUAAAUCCUGGGUUUUGACCACUGACCUGCUUCUGUUGCUGGAAACAGCAGACACUGCAUAUGACAGUAAUUUUAAAGAAGUGUCUGGGGUAAGAAAAACAGUUACGAACAAUUGUGCACUAAUGUACGUCUUAUUACAUAAAACACAUUACUGUAUGAGUUAUCCCAUAAACACACAAACACACCUGAUUUAUCUUCUAUACACACAAACCGAUACUACCAGAGUUAAUGCAUCACACAUAAUACAUUCCAUUCUCAACUAUGCUCCAUCAACCCAGAUUAAAAUCUGUGGACCUAACAAAAAUUGCCUGCACACUCUGAAUGGAAGUGAUUAUCAGGCAAAGACAAUCACCUAUAAACAUGAAACUAUACGCACGAUAACUGCCUUGUCAGACACAACAUUUCAGAGAGUGAAAACCUGCAGAGACUCGGCCCUCCAUGGAACCUGUUUGACACCUCUGCAUUAUUCUGUUUAAGGUACUAUAACGGUUGGUCACAGGGUACACAGACAUUACCAAUCUACAAACAAGGUGUUAGCAGGUGGAUUAAUGCAAAACAAAGUCUUGGGACUGUUGGUGAAGAGGGUUUGACUUUAGGGAGGCAGGGUGGGCCUUUAUGUUCAAUUGGUUUUUGGAGGAAGAUUACGUUGUGGGACGCAAGGAGAGAUAUUCCAAUUUCCACGCAUCCAUUGAACUAACGUAUGUGUAGUUUACUAACACGGAUGAAACGAUACACCAAGCCUUUGCUUAGGUGGAAAAGAUUUAUGAACAACUGACUCGUUAAUUUUUAUCAUUCAAUUGUUUAGUUCAUUCAAAUGGCUGCCAGCGGAGUUCUACCCCAACCACUGAAUGCCCUACACUCCUCCCAACCACUGAAUGCCCUACACUCCUCCCAACCACUGAAUGCCCUACACUCCUCCCAACCACUGAAUGCCCUACACUCCUCCCAACCACUGAAUGCCCUACACUCCUCCCAACCACUGUUAGUUUAACGUUUGCAAAAAUCAAGCUGGCAGCAUUAUGAAGACGCGUAUAAUGAAUGUAUAUACAGUAUCUCACAAAAGUGAGUACACCCCUCACAUUUUUGCAAAUACACUUUGCUACAAUGUAAAGUAGUGAGUGUACAGCUUGUAUAACAGUGUACAUUUGCUUUCCCCUCAAAAUAACUCAACACACAGCCAUUACUGUCUAAACCGCUGUCAACAAAAGUGAGUACACCCCUAAGUGAAAAUGUCCAAAUUGGGCCCAAAGUGUCAAUAUUGUGUGUGGCCACCAUUAUUUUCCAGCACUGCCUUAACCCUCUUGGGCAUGAAGUUCACCAGAGCUUCACAGGUUGCCCCUGGAGUCCACCUCCACUCCUCCAUGACGACAUCACAGAGCGGGUGGAUGUUAGAGACCUUGCGCUCCUCCACCUUCCGUUUGAGGAUGCCCCACAGAUGCUCAAUGGGGUUUAGGUCUGGAGACAUGCUUGGCCAGUCCAUCACCUUUACCCUCAGCUUCUUUAGCAAGGCAGUGGUCGUCUUGGAGGUGUGUUUGGGGUCGUUAUCAUGUUGGAAUACUGCCCUGAGGCCCAGUCUCCGAUGGGAGGGGAUCAUGCUCUGCUUUAGUAAGUCACAGUACAUGUUGGUAUUCAUGGUUCCCUCAAUGAACUGUAGCUCCCCAGUGCCGGCAGCACUCAUGCAGCCCCAGACCAUGACACCCCCAUCACCAUGCUUGACUGUAGGCAAGACACACUUGCCUUUGUACUCCUCACCUGGUUGCCACCACACACGCUUGACACCAUCUGAACCAAAUAAGUUUCUCAUCAGACCACAGGACAUGGUUCUAGUAAUCCAUGUCCUUAGUCUGCUUGUCUUCAGUAAAUUGUUUCUUUAGAAGAGGCCCCCCGCCCUUUCAACAUCUGCAGCAAUGCUGGCAGCACUCAUUCUUCUAUUUCCCCAAGACAACCUCUGGAUAUGACGCUGAGCAGGUGGACUCAACUUCUUUGGUUGACCAUGGCGAGGUAUGGUCUUCUGAGUGGAACCUGUCCUGUUAAACCGCUGUAUGGUCUUGGCCACCGUGUUUGCAGCUCAGUUUCAGGGUCUUGGCAAUUUUCUUAUAGUUCCCUGCACACCGUUCCGAUUCAGGUGCUCCCUGUAACUAGCAUACAACUCUUUUUCGACAAAUUUUAUAUAUUCCUUGUAACUGUAAUAUUUUGUAUCCUCAUAGUAGAUAAGCAUUUCAUUGUCAGUCGGCACCUACAAUACAAUUAGAUAUCCUUAAAUACUGAGCUUGUCUUAAGUGUGAGGCAAGUUUACCUGGUCCACAUUUACCUGGUCCAUUGUAUGAGCCAAUCACUCAAGAAUGCAAUUCAGCAACUCUGCAGUUUUCAAUGCAAA